This 425-nucleotide ribosomal RNA is filed under the name uncultured bacterium. Its description in RNAcentral is "partial 16S ribosomal RNA". It matches the Rfam family "Bacterial small subunit ribosomal RNA", at positions 354 to 796 of the family's 1533-position model. The record is from RNAcentral.
GUGGGGAAUAUUGGACAAUGGGCGCAAGCCUGAUCCAGCCAUGCCGCGUGAGUGAUGAAGGCCCUAGGGUUGUAAAGCUCUUUCACCGGUGAAGAUAAUGACGGUAACCGGAGAAGAAGCCCCGGCUAACUUCGUGCCAGCAGCCGCGGUAAUACGAAGGGGGCUAGCGUUGUUCGGAAUUACUGGGCGUAAAGCGCACGUAGGCGGACAUUUAAGUCAGGGGUGAAAUCCCGGGGCUCAACCCCGGAACUGCCUUUGAUACUGGGUGUCUGGAGUAUGGAAGAGGUAAGUGGAAUUCCGAGUGUAGAGGUGAAAUUCGUAGAUAUUCGGAGGAACACCAGUGGCGAAGGCGGCUCACUGGCCCGUUACUGACGCUGAGGCGCGAAAGCGUGGGGAGCAAACAGGAUUAGAAACCCGGGUAGUCC